AACGAACGCUGGCGGCAUGCCUAACACAUGCAAGUCGAACGAGACCUUCGGGUUUAGUGGCGCACUCAUGCGUAACGCGUGGGAACCUGCCCUUAGGUUUGCCAUAUCUCCCCGGAUAACGUGCUGAUACCGGUUAUUAUCCUGGGUCCAUAGAUUUAUCGCCUUUGGAUGGGCCCGCGUUGGAUUACCUCGUUGUUAGGGUAAAAGCCUAUCAAGGCUACGAUCUAUAGCUGGUCUGAGAGGAUGCUCAGCCACACUGGGAAUGAGACACGGCCCAGACUACUACGGGAAGCAGCAGUGGGGAAUAGAGGACAAUGGGCGAAAGGCUGAACCAGCAAUGCCGGGUGAGUGAUGAAGGCCGUAGGGUAGUAAAGCUAUUUUACCCGGGAAGGUAAUGACAGUACCGGGAGAAUAAGCGCCGGCUAACUCCGUG
RNAcentral lists this ribosomal RNA (433 nucleotides) under uncultured bacterium. Its description in RNAcentral is "partial 16S ribosomal RNA". It matches the Rfam family "Bacterial small subunit ribosomal RNA", at positions 29 to 507 of the family's 1533-position model. The record is from RNAcentral.